Molecule: ribosomal RNA, 497 nt
Filed under: uncultured bacterium
Lineage: Bacteria
Description: partial 16S ribosomal RNA
Rfam family: Bacterial small subunit ribosomal RNA
Source: RNAcentral
GACGAACGCUGGCGGCGUGCCUAAUACAUGCAAGUUGGGCGCUGAAGGUUGGUACUUGUCCCGACUGGAUGAGCAGCGAACGGGUGAGUAACGCGUGGGGAAUCUGCCUUUGAGCGGGGGACAACAUUUGGAAACGAAUGCUAAUACCGCAUAAAAACUUUAAACACAAGUUUUAAGUUUGAAAGAUGCAAUUGCAUCACUCAAAGAUGAUCCCGCGUUGUAUUAGCUAGUUGGUGAGGUAAAGGCUCACCAAGGCGAUGAUACAUAGCCGACCUGAGAGGGUGAACGGCCACAAUUGGACUUGGACCCGGCCCAAACCCCUUAGGGAGGCAGCAGUAGGGAAUCUUCGGCAAUGGACGAAAGUCUGACCGAGCAACGCCGCGUGAGUGAAGAAGGUUCUCGGAUCGUAAAACUCUGUUGGUAGAGAAGAACGUUGGGGAGAGUGGAAAGCUCAUCAAGUGACGGUAACUACCCAGAAAGGGACGGCUAACUACGUG